CCUACGGGUGGCAGCAGUGGGGAAUUUUGGACAAUGGGGGCAACCCUGAUCCAGCCAUUCCGCGUGAGUGAAGAAGGCCUUCGGGUUGUAAAGCUCUUUCGCAAGGGAAGAAAACUUACUCAAUAACACUGGGUGAGGCUGACGGUACCUUGAUAAGAAGCACCGGCUAACUACGUGCCAGCAGCCGCGGUAAUACGUAGGGUGCGAGCGUGAAUCGAAGCUACUGCGCGUAAUUCUUGAGGUGACGGUUGAAAUCCCCGGGCUCAACCUGGGAACUGCGUUUGAAACUACAAGGCUAGAGUAUGGCAGAGGGGGGUAGAAUUCCACGUGUAGCAGUGAAAUGCGUAGAGAUGUGGAGGAAUACCAAUGGCGAAGGCAGCCCCCUGGGUCAAUACUGACGCUCAUGCACGAAAGCGUGGGGAGCAAACAGGAUUAGAUACCCGUGUAGUC
RNAcentral lists this ribosomal RNA (450 nucleotides) under uncultured bacterium. RNAcentral's name for it is "partial 16S ribosomal RNA". It matches the Rfam family "Bacterial small subunit ribosomal RNA", at positions 338 to 795 of the family's 1533-position model. The record is from RNAcentral.